This 872-nucleotide ribosomal RNA is filed under the name uncultured bacterium. RNAcentral's name for it is "bacterial SSU rRNA". It matches the Rfam family "Bacterial small subunit ribosomal RNA", at positions 27 to 897 of the family's 1533-position model. The record is from RNAcentral.
GGAUGAACGCUAGCGGCAGGCUUAACACAUGCAAGUCGAGGGGUAACAGGGGUAGCAAUACCUGCUGACGACCGGCAAACGGGUGCGGAACACGUACAGAAUCUACCUUGAUCUGGGGCAUAGCCCGGAGAAAUCCGGAUUAACUCCCCAUAACAUAUAAGAGUGGCAUCACUUUAAUAUUAAAAAUUUAUUGGAUCGAGAUGACUGUGCGUCCCAUUAGCUAGUUGGUAGGGUAACGGCCUACCAAGGCGACGAUGGGUAGCUGGUGUGAGAGCACGACCAGCCACACGGGCACUGAGACACGGGCCCGACUCCUACGGGAGGCAGCAGUGAGGAAUAUUGGUCAAUGGACGCAAGUCUGAACCAGCCAUGCCGCGUGAAGGAUGAAGGCCUUCUGGGUUGUAAACUUCUUUUACCUGGGAAGAAACCCCGAUUUUCUAAUCGGGUUGACGGUACCAGAGGAAUAAGCACCGGCUAACUCCGUGCCAGCAGCCGCGGUAAUACGGAGGGUGCAAGCGUUAUCCGGAUUUACUGGGUUUAAAGGGUGUGUAGGCGGGUCUUUAAGUCAGUGGUGAAAUCUCCGAGCUCAACUUGGAAACUGCCAUUGAUACUAUUGAUCUUGAAUUUUGUUGAGGUAGGCGGAAUAAGUCAUGUAGCGGUGAAAUGCAUAGAUAUGACUUAGAACACCAAUUGCGAAGGCAGCUUGCUAAACAAAUAUUGACGCUGAGGCACGAAAGCGUGGGGAUCAAACAGGAUUAGAUACCCUGGUAGUCCACGCCCUAAACGAUGAUUACUCGACAUACGCGAUACACAGUGUGUGUCUGAGCGAAAGCAUUAAGUAAUCCACCUGGGAAGUACGACCGCAAGGUUGA